CUUCAGAUCUGGCAAAUCUGUUAUAAAGGAUUAUGGAAUACAAGCUACUAUGCAUAAAACAAGAUACAAAAAGACCUAAUGGAUAGCACAAGGAAAAUAGUCACUAUUUUAUAAUAGCUUUGUAUGCAGUAUAAUCUAUAAAAAUAUAGAAUUUCCAUGCUGUACACCUGAACUAA
Non-coding RNA from Vicugna pacos (alpaca), 176 nucleotides. NCBI's taxonomy places the organism in Eukaryota, Metazoa, Chordata, Mammalia, Artiodactyla, Camelidae. The record is from RefSeq and is a predicted model, not a curated record.